Molecule: ribosomal RNA, 1355 nt
Filed under: uncultured bacterium
Lineage: Bacteria
Description: bacterial SSU rRNA
Rfam family: Bacterial small subunit ribosomal RNA
Source: RNAcentral
AUUGAACGCUGGCGGCAGGCUUAACACAUGCAAGUCGAACGAUGAUUAUCUAGCUUGCUAGAUAUGAUUAGUGGCGGACGGGUGAGUAACAUUUAGGAAUCUGCCUAGUAGUGGGGGAUAGCUCGGGGAAACUCGAAUUAAUACCGCAUACGACCUACGGGUGAAAGGGGGCGCAAGCUCUUGCUAUUAGAUGAGCCUAAAUCAGAUUAGCUAGUUGGUGGGGUAAAGGCCCACCAAGGCGACGAUCUGUAACUGGUCUGAGAGGAUGAUCAGUCACACCGGAACUGAGACACGGUCCGGACUCCUACGGGAGGCAGCAGUGGGGAAUAUUGGACAAUGGGGGCAACCCUGAUCCAGCCAUGCCGCGUGUGUGAAGAAGGCCUUUUGGUUGUAAAGCACUUUAAGCAGGGAGGAGAGGCUAAUGGUUAAUACCCAUUAGAUUAGACGUUACCUGCAGAAUAAGCACCGGCUAACUCUGUGCCAGCAGCCGCGGUAAUACAGAGGGUGCGAGCGUUAAUCGGAAUUACUGGGCGUAAAGCGAGUGUAGGUGGCUCAUUAAGUCACAUGUGAAAUCCCCGGGCUUAACCUGGGAACUGCAUGUGAUACUGGUGGUGCUAGAAUAUGUGAGAGGGAAGUAGAAUUCCAGGUGUAGCGGUGAAAUGCGUAGAGAUCUGGAGGAAUACCGAUGGCGAAGGCAGCUUCCUGGCAUAAUAUUGACACUGAGAUUCGAAAGCGUGGGUAGCAAACAGGAUUAGAUACCCUGGUAGUCCACGCCGUAAACGAUGUCUACUAGCCGUUGGGGUCCUUGAGACUUUAGUGGCGCAGUUAACGCGAUAAGUAGACCGCCUGGGGAGUACGGCCGCAAGGUUAAAACUCAAAUGAAUUGACGGGGGCCCGCACAAGCGGUGGAGCAUGUGGUUUAAUUCGAUGCAACGCGAAGAACCUUACCUGGUCUUGACAUUGUGAGAAUCCUGCAGAGAUGCGGGAGUGCCUUCGGGAAUUCACAUACAGGUGCUGCAUGGCUGUCGUCAGCUCGUGUCGUGAGAUGUUGGGUUAAGUCCCGCAACGAGCGCAACCCUUUUCCUUAUUUGCCAGCGGGUUAAGCCGGGAACUUUAAGGAUACUGCCAGUGACAAACUGGAGGAAGGCGGGGACGACGUCAAGUCAUCAUGGCCCUUACGACCAGGGCUACACACGUGCUACAAUGGUAGGUACAGAGGGUUGCUACACAGCGAUGUGAUGCUAAUCUCAAAAAGCCUAUCGUAGUCCGGAUUGGAGUCUGCAACUCGACUCCAUGAAGUCGGAAUCGCUAGUAAUCGCAGAUCAGAAUGCUGCGGUGAAUACGUUCCCGGGCCU